UGUGAAAGCCCACGGCUCAACCGUGGAGGGGCAUUGGAAACUGGGAGACUUGAGUGCAGAAGAGGAAAGUGGAAUUCCAUGUGUAGCGGUGAAAUGCGUAGAGAUAUGGAGGAACACCAGUGGCGAAGGCGACUUUCUGGUCUGUAACUGACGCUGAGGCGCGAAAGCGUGGGGAGCAAACAGGAUUAGAUACCCUGGUAGUCCACGCCGUAAACGAUGAGUGCUAAGUGUUAGAGGGUUUCCGCCCUUUAGUGCUGAAGUUAACGCAUUAAGCACUCCGCCUGGGGAGUACGGCCGCAAGGCUGAAACUCAA
Molecule: ribosomal RNA, 313 nt
Filed under: uncultured Bacillus sp.
Lineage: Bacteria; Bacillati; Bacillota; Bacilli; Caryophanales; Bacillaceae
Description: bacterial SSU rRNA
Rfam family: Bacterial small subunit ribosomal RNA
Source: RNAcentral